GACGAACGCUGGCGGCGUGCUUAACACAUGCAAGUCGAACGGAAAGGCCCUGCUUUUGUGGGGUGCUCGAGUGGCGAACGGGUGAGUAACACGUGAGUAACCUGCCCUUGACUUUGGGUUAACUUCAGGAAACUGGGGCUAAUACCGGAUAGGAGCUCCUGCUGCGUGGUGGGGGUUGGAAAGUUUCGGCGGUUGGGGAUGGACUCGCGGCUUAUCAGCUUGUUGGUGGGGGAGUGGCUUACCAAGGCUUUGACGGGUAGCCGGACUGAGAGGGUGACCGGCCACAUUGGGACUGAGAUACGGCCCAGACUCCUACGGGAGGCAGCAGUGGGGAAUAUUGCACAAUGGGCGGAAGCCUGAUGCAGCAACGCCGCGUGCGGGAUGACGGCCUUCGGGUUGUAAACCGCUUUCGCCUGUGACGAAGCGUGAGUGACGGUAAUGGGUAAAGAAGCACCGGCUAACUACGUGCCAGCCGCCGCCGUAA
This 484-nucleotide ribosomal RNA is filed under the name uncultured bacterium. Its description in RNAcentral is "partial 16S ribosomal RNA". It matches the Rfam family "Bacterial small subunit ribosomal RNA", at positions 28 to 523 of the family's 1533-position model. The record is from RNAcentral.